Non-coding RNA from Podarcis muralis (Common wall lizard), 290 nucleotides. NCBI's taxonomy places the organism in Eukaryota, Metazoa, Chordata, Lepidosauria, Squamata, Lacertidae. The record is from RefSeq and is a predicted model, not a curated record.
CCAACCGCCGAUCGAAUAGUUACUACGGUCGUUCCCAUUGUCUUUGGACGGUGUUGCCAUCCGCAACGGGUCCUUAGCCCUUCCCCCUCCCACCCCAAUACGUAAUCUCCGUACAUUCAUAGCGGCCUGCGUCUCACCUUAUGAGGGAGCGACAUCUUAGGUAUUCCAAACACGACAUGGUAUGAAACUGAAAAUGACAUCAAGUAACAGAAAGGGUUUAGAGCCAAAAUGUGAGAAUUUGUACCCAGAACAGAACUGAACUGAAGGGUUCAGCCAGCCUGCUUAUAGAG